This 497-nucleotide ribosomal RNA is filed under the name uncultured bacterium. RNAcentral describes it as "partial 16S ribosomal RNA". It matches the Rfam family "Bacterial small subunit ribosomal RNA", at positions 28 to 507 of the family's 1533-position model. The record is from RNAcentral.
GAUGAACGCUGGCGGCGUGCCUAAUACAUGCAAGUCGAGCGAACGGACGAGAAGCUUGCUUCUCUGAUGUUAGCGGCGGACGGGUGAGUAACACGUGGAUAACCUACCUAUAAGACUGGGAUAACUUCGGGAAACCGGAGCUAAUACCGGAUAAUAUUUUGAACCGCAUGGUUCAAAAGUGAAAGACGGUCUUGCUGUCACUUAUAGAUGGAUCCGCGCUGCAUUAGCUAGUUGGUAAGGUAACGGUGUACCAAGGCAACGAUGCAUAGCCGACCUGAGAGGGUGAUCGGCCACACUGGAACUGAGACACGGUCCAGACUCCUACGGGAGGCAGCAGUAGGGAAUCUUCCGCAAUGGGCGAAAGCCUGACGGAGCAACGCCGCGUGAGUGAUGAAGGUCUUCGGAUCGUAAAACUCUGUUAGUAGGGAAGAACAUAUGUGUAAGUAACUGUGCACAUCUUGACGGUACCUAAUCAGAAAGCCACGGCUAACUACGUG